CCUACGGGAGGCAGCAGUGGGGAAUAUUGCACAAUGGGCGAAAGCCUGAUGCAGCAACGCCGCGUGAGUGAUGAAGGCCUUCGGGUUGUAAAGCUCUUGUCUUCUGGGACGAUAAUGACGGUACCAGAGGAGGAAGCCACGGCUAACUACGUGCCAGCAGCCGCGGUAAU
This 170-nucleotide ribosomal RNA is filed under the name uncultured Clostridium sp. RNAcentral's name for it is "partial 16S ribosomal RNA". It matches the Rfam family "Bacterial small subunit ribosomal RNA", at positions 338 to 524 of the family's 1533-position model. Lineage: Bacteria; Bacillati; Bacillota; Clostridia; Eubacteriales; Clostridiaceae. The record is from RNAcentral.